RNAcentral lists this ribosomal RNA (159 nucleotides) under Fusarium solani. Its description in RNAcentral is "5.8S ribosomal RNA". It matches the Rfam family "5.8S ribosomal RNA". From Rfam's summary of the family: 5.8S ribosomal RNA (5.8S rRNA) is a component of the large subunit of the eukaryotic ribosome. Lineage: Eukaryota; Fungi; Ascomycota; Sordariomycetes; Hypocreales; Nectriaceae. The record is from RNAcentral.
AAACUCUCAACAACGGAUCUCUUGGCUCUGGCAUCGAUGAAGAACGCAGCGAAAUGCGAUAAGUAAUGUGAAUUGCAGAAUUCAGUGAAUCAUCGAAUCUUUGAACGCACAUUGCGCCCGCCAGUAUUCUGGCGGGCAUGCCUGUUCGAGCGUCAUUAC